UACGUAGGGUGCGAGCGUUGUCCGGAAUUAUUGGGCGUAAAGAGCUCGUAGGCGGUUUGUCGCGUCGUUCGUGAAAACUCCACGCUUAACGUGGAGCGUGCGGGCGAUACGGGCAGACUUGAGUUCGGUAGGGGAGACUGGAAUUCCUGGUGUAGCGGUGAAAUGCGCAGAUAUCAGGAGGAACACCGGUGGCGAAGGCGGGUCUCUGGGCCGAUACUGACGCUGAGGAGCGAAAGCGUGGGGAGCAAACAGG
This 253-nucleotide ribosomal RNA is filed under the name uncultured bacterium. RNAcentral describes it as "partial 16S ribosomal RNA". It matches the Rfam family "Bacterial small subunit ribosomal RNA", at positions 524 to 776 of the family's 1533-position model. The record is from RNAcentral.